This 72-nucleotide transfer RNA is filed under the name Candidatus Woesearchaeota archaeon. RNAcentral describes it as "tRNA-Thr". It matches the Rfam family "tRNA". From Rfam's summary of the family: Transfer RNA (tRNA) molecules are approximately 80 nucleotides in length. Their secondary structure includes four short double-helical elements and three loops (D, anti-codon, and T loops). Lineage: Archaea; Nanobdellati; Candidatus Woesearchaeota. The record is from RNAcentral.
GCCUCAGUGGCUUAGUGGUAUAGCGCGGCCUUGGUAAGGCCGAGGUCGAGGGUUCAAUUCCCUCCUGAGGCU